AAUCGGCCUGGGUAAGCAAAUCACUCUAUGUUUCAGAAUGGUGUACAUGACGUUAAAAAAGUCCUUAGAUGUUUUAAUAAGUUCAUAUUGAUCCCGCCCCCAAGGCCUAGCUCAAGUGGCAAAAGGUGGAGGAUUUGUCGCUUAGGUCGCAGGUUCAAGCCCCACACCAUGCAAAGCGAAGCCCGGUAUUUAAGUGGAGAAGGGGAGAGGGGCGGGCCCAUUAUCCACCAAGUUUAGAAGGCAUUGAUUGGUCCAAAAGGGCGGGUCACUGACAGAUUUCUCGGUUAUAAAAAAAAUAAAUAUGUUCAUAUUGAUCCCGCCCCCAAGGCCUAGCUGAAGUGGCAAAAGGUGGAGGAUUUGUGGCUUAGGUCGCAGGUUCAAGCCCCACACCAUGCAAAGCGAAGCCCGGUAUUUAAGUGGAGAAGGG
RNAcentral lists this long non-coding RNA (427 nucleotides) under Solanum tuberosum (potato). Its description in RNAcentral is "long non-coding RNA (STUB_LNC001248)". Lineage: Eukaryota; Viridiplantae; Streptophyta; Magnoliopsida; Solanales; Solanaceae. The record is from RNAcentral.